RNAcentral lists this ribosomal RNA (477 nucleotides) under uncultured bacterium. RNAcentral describes it as "bacterial SSU rRNA". It matches the Rfam family "Bacterial small subunit ribosomal RNA", at positions 29 to 507 of the family's 1533-position model. The record is from RNAcentral.
AAUAAACGCUGGCGGCGUGCUUAACACAUGCAAGUCGAACGUGAAAGUUUCUUCGGAAACGAGUAAAGUGGCGAACGGGUGAGUAACGCGUGAGAAUCUGCCCUAUAGUGAAGGAUACUACCGAGAAAUUGGUAUUAAUACUGCAUACCUUCGAAAGAAGAAAGGUGGCCUAAAAGCUGCCGCUAAAGGAUGAGCUUGCGUGCUAUUAGCUAGUUGGUGGGGUAAUGGCCUACCAAGGCGAUGAUGGCUAGCCGGCCUGAGAGGGUGUACGGCCACAUUGGAACUGAGAAACGGUCCAGACUCCUACGGGAGGCAGCAGUGAGGAAUAUUGCACAAUGGGCGAAAGCCUGAUGCAGCCACACCGCGUGAAGGAUGAAGGUCUUCGGAUUGUAAACUUCUGUUAAAUGGGAAAAAGAGUCUUCCUGAAUAGGGAAGAAGAUGAUGGUACCAUUAGAGAAAGCACCGGCUAACUUCGUG